Molecule: non-coding RNA, 31 nt
Filed under: Mus musculus (house mouse)
Lineage: Eukaryota; Metazoa; Chordata; Mammalia; Rodentia; Muridae
Source: RNAcentral
UUAAGAUCACAAAAAGGUCAAAUAAAGGGAA